This 492-nucleotide ribosomal RNA is filed under the name uncultured bacterium. RNAcentral describes it as "partial 16S ribosomal RNA". It matches the Rfam family "Bacterial small subunit ribosomal RNA", at positions 29 to 507 of the family's 1533-position model. The record is from RNAcentral.
AGUGAACGCUGGCGGUAGGCCUAACACAUGCAAGUCGAACGGCAGCACAGUAAGAGCUUGCUCUUACGGGUGGCGAGUGGCGGACGGGUGAGGAAUACAUCGGAAUCUACUUUUUCGUGGGGGAUAACGUAGGGAAACUUACGCUAAUACCGCAUACGACCUACGGGUGAAAGCAGGGGAUCUUCGGACCUUGCGCGAUUGGAUGAGCCGAUGUCGGAUUAGCUAGUUGGCGGGGUAAAGGCCCACCAAGGCGACGAUCCGUAGCUGGUCUGAGAGGAUGAUCAGCCACACUGGAACUGAGACACGGUCCAGACCCCUACGGGAGGCAGCAGUGGGGAAUAUUGGACAAUGGGCGCAAGCCUGAUCCAGCCAUACCGCGUGGGUGAAGAAGGCCUUCGGGUUGUAAAGCCCUUUUGUUGGGAAAGAAAAGCAGCAGGUUAAUACCCCGCUGUUCUGACGGUACCCAAAGAAUAAGCACCGGCUAACUUCGUG